This 253-nucleotide ribosomal RNA is filed under the name uncultured bacterium. Its description in RNAcentral is "partial 16S ribosomal RNA". The stretch from base 36 to 253 matches the Rfam family "Bacterial small subunit ribosomal RNA", at positions 559 to 776 of the family's 1533-position model. The record is from RNAcentral.
AACGUCGGCGCCCCCCUUUCUCCUUCUUUCCUUUUCUUCAAUUUCUUUUAUUUGGUAGUGUAAGUCUGGCGUGAAAUUUUUCGGCUUAACCGGGAAAGGUCGUCGGAUACUGCACAACUAGAGGACGGUAGAGGCGUGUGGAAUUCCGGGUGUAGUGGUGAAAUGCGUAGAGAUCCGGAGGAACACCAGUGGCGAAGGCGACACGCUGGGCCGUACCUGACACUGAUGCGCGACGGCAUGGGGAGCAAACAGG